UACGAAGGGGGCGAGCGUUGUUCGGAAUUACUGGGCGUAAAGGGCGCGUAGGCGGCCGAUCAAGUCAGAUGUGAAAGUCCUGGGCUUAACCUGGGGACUGCAUUUGAUACUGAUUGGCUUGAAUGCAGGAGAGGAUAGCGGAAUUCCCAGUGUAGAGGUGAAAUUCGUAGAUAUUGGGAAGAACACCGGUGGCGAAGGCAGCUAUCUGGACUGUGAUUGACGCUGAGGCGCGAAAGCGUGGGGAGCAAACAGG
RNAcentral lists this ribosomal RNA (253 nucleotides) under uncultured bacterium. Its description in RNAcentral is "partial 16S ribosomal RNA". It matches the Rfam family "Bacterial small subunit ribosomal RNA", at positions 524 to 776 of the family's 1533-position model. The record is from RNAcentral.